This 472-nucleotide ribosomal RNA is filed under the name uncultured bacterium. RNAcentral describes it as "bacterial SSU rRNA". It matches the Rfam family "Bacterial small subunit ribosomal RNA", at positions 355 to 825 of the family's 1533-position model. The record is from RNAcentral.
UGGGGAAUUUUGGACAAUGGGGGCAACCCUGAUCCAGCCAUUCCGCGUGAGUGAAGAAGGCCUUCGGGUUGUAAAGCUCUUUCAGCAGGAACGAAACGGUCGGCUUUAAUAAAGUCGGCUAAUGACGGUACCUGCAGAAGAAGCACCGGCUAACUACGUGCCAGCAGCCGCGGUAAUACGUAGGGUGCGAGCGUUAAUCGGAAUUACUGGGCGUAAAGCGUGCGCAGGCGGCGACAUAAGACAGAUGUGAAAUCCCCGGGCUCAACCUGGGAACUGCGUUUGUGACUGUGUUGCUAGAGUGUAGCAGAGGGGGGUGGAAUUCCACGUGUAGCAGUGAAAUGCGUAGAGAUGUGGAGGAACACCGAUGGCGAAGGCAGCCCCCUGGGUUAACACUGACGCUCAUGCACGAAAGCGUGGGGAGCAAACAGGAUUAGAUACCCGAGUAGUCCCUGAGCGGGCUGGCAAGGCGCAU